Molecule: long non-coding RNA, 1049 nt
Organism: Adelges cooleyi (spruce gall adelgid)
Lineage: Eukaryota; Metazoa; Arthropoda; Insecta; Hemiptera; Adelgidae
Exons: 2
Source: RefSeq, a predicted model, not a curated record
AGUGCUCUGUGCUAUAAAAAGCACGGCUUUAGAUCUUCAAGACCGUGCUUUUAAUAAUUGAAAAAUAAACAGUAAAAUCCAAUGAUUAAAAUAAAAUAAUUAAUUCCGACCUAACUGAUACACAUACAUGUACAUAACAUAAUAACAUUUAUAAGUAGAAUUCUGCCUGUGAAUUGUUUUGUUACAGGACUAAUGUAAUACUAUUAUGUAAGAACAGUUGAAGAUGUGAAGACGAGACGGCUAUUAUUAUUUAAUCUUAAUUAAGUUUUCGAUUAUAAAUUUGUUACGACGUUAAUGUUUGCGAUUGUCGAAGACGGGGUCGGUGUAUCUUUUAUUUUGGGUGAAAAAAAUAUGAGUGAAUUUAAUUGUAAUAUCUAUCUUGAUUCGUGAUAAGGGUAUUGUGGAUAUUAUGGCCUUGCAAAUGGUCAUAUUUCAAUUUUAAUCAUUUUUGGAUUAGUUGGGUGGUGGGGGUAGGUUUAUCUAUUCUGUGGUAGGAUCAAGGAAAGAAAAAGUUGUUUAAUCAUGGAUAAAACACAAACAAUGGGUGUCCCCUGUCCUUUUAUCUUUGUUUGUACGUCCGCGAGUAUUUAAAUGUUUUUAUUUAAUAUUCAAAUGACCAAUAACCAUUUUCAUGGAACGCCCACGACCGAUGAGUCAGAAUAAUAUAGCGACCACGCCAAAGGAUAAUACUUACUUACUACUUAGUAUUGUUUGUACUUAGUAGACAGAUGACGGUUAACGAACGCAAUGGAAGCGAAUAAGUAUUCAGAAAGUAGCAGCGAUGACACCAAAAACGAGAAUGAAGAUGAGGUGACCGCAAAAGUUGGAGGUUAUGAACCGGACAAAAUCUUAGGGGCCACUAAUGCUUCCGGAGAAUUAAUGUUCCUGUUGAAAUGGAGAAACGUAGACGACGUUACUAUUGUUCCUGCCAAAAUAGCGAAUGUGUUAUACCCCCAAGUCGUAAUUGAAUUUUACGAAAACCAUGUUGGGUGGUAUAGUUAAAUUGUAAAUAUUUUUUAUAUAAUUAAACGGCAAAUAAUACAGCCAAA